RNAcentral lists this ribosomal RNA (354 nucleotides) under Shigella sonnei. RNAcentral describes it as "bacterial LSU rRNA". It matches the Rfam family "Bacterial large subunit ribosomal RNA", at positions 80 to 473 of the family's 2925-position model. The record is from RNAcentral. Lineage: Bacteria; Pseudomonadati; Pseudomonadota; Gammaproteobacteria; Enterobacterales; Enterobacteriaceae.
GGUAAGGUGAUAUGAACCGUUGUAACCGGCGAUUUCCGAAUGGGGAAACCCAGUGUGAUUCGUCACACUAUCAUUAACUGAAUCCAUAGGUUAAUGAGGCGAACCGGGGGAACUGAAACAUCUAAGUACCCCGAGGAAAAGAAAUCAACCGAGAUUCCCCCAGUAGCGGCGAGCGAACGGGGAGCAGCCCAGAGCCUGAAUCAGUGUGUGUGUUAGUGGAAGCGUCUGGAAAGGCGCGCGAUACAGGGUGACAGCCCCGUACACAAAAAUGCACAUAUUGUGAGCUCGAUGAGUAGGGCGGGACACGUGGUAUCCUGUCUGAAUAUGGGGGGACCAUCCUCCAAGGCUAAAUAC